This 66-nucleotide transfer RNA is filed under the name Synechococcus sp. UBA8071. Its description in RNAcentral is "tRNA-Thr". It matches the Rfam family "tRNA". Rfam says of the family: Transfer RNA (tRNA) molecules are approximately 80 nucleotides in length. Lineage: Bacteria; Bacillati; Cyanobacteriota; Cyanophyceae; Synechococcales; Synechococcaceae. The record is from RNAcentral.
GCCGGCUUAGCUCAGCGGUAGAGCAGCGCUUUUGUAAAGCGAAGGUCACUGGUUCAAAUCCUGUAU